This 576-nucleotide ribosomal RNA is filed under the name Nakaseomyces glabratus. RNAcentral's name for it is "eukaryotic LSU rRNA". It matches the Rfam family "Eukaryotic large subunit ribosomal RNA", at positions 71 to 651 of the family's 3401-position model. The record is from RNAcentral. Lineage: Eukaryota; Fungi; Ascomycota; Saccharomycetes; Saccharomycetales; Saccharomycetaceae.
GCGAUUGCNUUAGUAACGGCGAGUGAAGCGGCAAAAGCUCAAAUUUGAAAUCUGGUACCUUUGGUGCCCGAGUUGUAAUUUGGAGAGUACCACUUUGGGACUGUACUUUGCCUAUGUUCCUUGGAACAGGACGUCAUGGAGGGUGAGAAUCCCGUGUGGCGAGGGUGUCAGUUCUUUGUAAAGGGUGCUCGAAGAGUCGAGUUGUUUGGGAAUGCAGCUCUNAGUGGGUGGUAAAUUCCAUCUAAAGCUAAAUACAGGCGAGAGACCGAUAGCGAACAAGUACAGUGAUGGAAAGAUGAAAAGAACUUUGAAAAGAGAGUGAAAAAGUACGUGAAAUUGUUGAAAGGGAAGGGCAUUUGAUCAGACAUGGUGUUUUGCGCCCCUUGCCUCUCGUGGGCUUGGGACUCUCGCAGCUCACUGGGCCAGCAUCGGUUUUGGCGGCCGGAAAAAACCUAGGGAAUGUGGCUCUGCGCCUCGGUGUAGAGUGUUAUAGNCCCUGGGGAAUACGGCCAGCCGGGACCGAGGACUGCGAUACUUGUUAUCUAGGAUGCUGGCAUAAUGGUUGCAUGCCUAGGG